Molecule: small nuclear RNA, 107 nt
Organism: Camelus dromedarius (Arabian camel)
Lineage: Eukaryota; Metazoa; Chordata; Mammalia; Artiodactyla; Camelidae
Source: Ensembl
GGGCUCGCUUCGGCAGCACAGGUACUAAAGUUGGAAGGAUACAGAGAAGGUUCGCGUGGCCCCUGUGCAAGGAUGGCACGCAAAUUCACAAAGUGUUUCAUAUUUUU